RNAcentral lists this ribosomal RNA (397 nucleotides) under uncultured bacterium. RNAcentral's name for it is "partial 16S ribosomal RNA". It matches the Rfam family "Bacterial small subunit ribosomal RNA", at positions 523 to 918 of the family's 1533-position model. The record is from RNAcentral.
AUACGUAGGGGGCAAGCGUUAUCCGGAUUUACUGGGUGUAAAGGGAGCGUAGACGGAAGGCCAAGUCUGAUGUGAAAGCCCGCGGCUCAACUGCGGGACUGCAUUGGAAACUGGUCAUCUGGAGUGCAGGCGGGGUAAGCGGAAUUCCUAGUGUAGCGGUGCAAUGCGUAGAUCUAAGGAGGAACACCGGUGGCGAAGACGGAUGGUCAGAGAGACACGUACGUUGCUGCUCCCCGGUGACGGGAUCAAACCGGAGUGGACAACAUGCUAUUCCACGGCGUAACCGAUGGAUACUAGGUGUCGGUUAUCUAUCGAGAGUCGGUCCCGUAGCAAACAAAAUAAGUGUUUAACCCGGGAAGUAUGUGCACAACAACGGAUCUCAAAUGAUUUGAAUAGG